AGACCACCACGGUGACUUGCAAGCAACUCACUGCACUUAGGCACUGGACUACCUGAAUUUUUAAUUCAGUGACGGAAGGCUGCUGGGUGUAGUCAAGUACUUGACUUGUUGGUGCGUGUGUCAAGAUGGGAUUGACCACUCCAGUUUAGGAGCUGUGUACAGUCGUGUUUCAAUUUAGCAAAAUCUUGGCCAGGGUAGUCCUUGUGAGGAGUCACAGGAUUGUUUGAGUUGAGCACGAUUCGGAUGAUCUGAUCAGGGUUGACAGUUUAACUCUGAGUCGUCCUAAAC
RNAcentral lists this long non-coding RNA (288 nucleotides) under Elaeis guineensis (African oil palm). RNAcentral's name for it is "long non-coding RNA (EGUI_LNC070080)". Lineage: Eukaryota; Viridiplantae; Streptophyta; Magnoliopsida; Arecales; Arecaceae. The record is from RNAcentral.